CAUGAAGCUGGAAUUGCUGUAAUGGCAGGUCAGCAUACUGCCGUGAAUACGUUCCCGGGGCCCUUGUACACACCGCCCGUCACACCAUGAGAGUUGGAAAUACCCGAAGCCUGUGAGCUAACUUAAAGAGGCAGCAGUCGAAGGUAGAGCCAAUGACUGGGGUGAAGUCGUAACAAGGUAGC
This 182-nucleotide ribosomal RNA is filed under the name uncultured bacterium. Its description in RNAcentral is "partial 16S ribosomal RNA". It matches the Rfam family "Bacterial small subunit ribosomal RNA", at positions 1319 to 1500 of the family's 1533-position model. The record is from RNAcentral.